Molecule: long non-coding RNA, 902 nt
Organism: Acipenser ruthenus (sterlet)
Lineage: Eukaryota; Metazoa; Chordata; Actinopteri; Acipenseriformes; Acipenseridae
Exons: 3
Source: RefSeq, a predicted model, not a curated record
AAUAUAUUGAAGAUUCUGAGCUUUUGGAACAGUACUUCAAGACAUCAUUCAGCGACCUAGCGUCAGACUCCGAAUUGUCUAAAAAUCUUGAAAAAGCCGAAAGGAACGACGUGGCCUGUACUUCGGAGGAGGGACAGGUUAUACAGGCGUAUACCCCCUUGGAGCCUCACAAUAAACCUCAAAAAUCUGCAAAAAGACCUCUCAAAAAACGGCCCACUAGACGUACACUUCUUGUGGAAAGUGAAUCUUCCGAGGACGACACCUCCUUCAGCAGAGACCCAAAGUCUAAAAGGCCGCGUAAAUUUUCCGAAAGGUUUCAUACUUCGCUACAAUCAAGAGGCACCCCCACCGUCUCCAAAGUAUCACAAAGGCUAAAACCGACGCGCCCCUCAACUUCAACUACUGUUAGGUAUCACAGCUCUGAGCUAUUGAAACAUGUACAUCUGACUAUAGAGCAGAUCAUUUACAGACACCCCGCUAUAAGGGCCCUCGUUUCUGACCCUGAAGUGUCUCAGAAUAUACUUACAUUAAUUACCCUAUUGAAAACGCUGGGUUUCUUAAAACAGUAACAGUGUAUUUGUAGAGCUACAAUGGAACCACAUCGCAAAAAAACAUGUAAAAGGAAACACAUUGAAAUUACUGUUGAUGAUUCUGACAAUGAUGAGGCUGUGAAUGGUGUUCGAAAAAAUAAAAAGGGUUCAAUUGAUCCGAGUCAAACUGUGUCAAAUUCUGUGUUUAAUUCUAGAAGCGUCCCCCGAAAUACCUUAAAUUCUGUUCCCUCAAUAGGUUCCCAUACACAUAGUAUGUCUCCAGACCCCUGUUGCAUACCACACACUGUUCACCCCCAAAAUUUAAACGGUUUUGAGAAUUUUGACUAUCUAGACAAACUACUAAAUGAUUUA